RNAcentral lists this long non-coding RNA (216 nucleotides) under Vigna radiata. RNAcentral's name for it is "long non-coding RNA (VRAD_LNC013109)". The record is from RNAcentral. Lineage: Eukaryota; Viridiplantae; Streptophyta; Magnoliopsida; Fabales; Fabaceae.
CUCACAUUUAGUGUGUUUUCUAGUUUUCUUGUGUUUAUUUAGUAUAUGCUUGUUUUUACCUCUAAUCUCUAUGUUUGAGUGUGUGAAAUAAAGGAUUAGGAAGCAAUUCUAGUGGAGGAAAACAAGCAAGAACUCAAGAGAACAUGUUUUGGGACCAUAAUUGAUNAAUUUGAAGCAAAUACNCAUGUUGGANGCCUUCGGAAUCGCGCAAGAGCC